GGAGGAAUGGCAGAGCGGUCGAAUGCGGCGGUCUUGAAAACCGUUUUCCGCCUAUCGGUGGAACGGGGGUUCGAAUCCCUCUUCCUCCG
RNAcentral lists this transfer RNA (89 nucleotides) under Bacteroidales bacterium. RNAcentral's name for it is "tRNA-Ser". It matches the Rfam family "tRNA". From Rfam's summary of the family: Transfer RNA (tRNA) molecules are approximately 80 nucleotides in length. Their secondary structure includes four short double-helical elements and three loops (D, anti-codon, and T loops). The record is from RNAcentral. Lineage: Bacteria; Pseudomonadati; Bacteroidota; Bacteroidia; Bacteroidales.